Molecule: ribosomal RNA, 703 nt
Filed under: Enterococcus faecalis
Lineage: Bacteria; Bacillati; Bacillota; Bacilli; Lactobacillales; Enterococcaceae
Description: bacterial SSU rRNA
Rfam family: Bacterial small subunit ribosomal RNA
Source: RNAcentral
CGAGUGCUUGCACUCAAUUGGAAAGAGGAGUGGCGGACGGGUGAGUAACACGUGGGUAACCUACCCAUCAGAGGGGGAUAACACUUGGAAACAGGUGCUAAUACCGCAUAACAGUUUAUGCCGCAUGGCAUAAGAGUGAAAGGCGCUUUCGGGUGUCGCUGAUGGAUGGACCCGCGGUGCAUUAGCUAGUUGGUGAGGUAACGGCUCACCAAGGCCACGAUGCAUAGCCGACCUGAGAGGGUGAUCGGCCACACUGGGACUGAGACACGGCCCAGACUCCUACGGGAGGCAGCAGUAGGGAAUCUUCGGCAAUGGACGAAAGUCUGACCGAGCAACGCCGCGUGAGUGAAGAAGGUUUUCGGAUCGUAAAACUCUGUUGUUAGAGAAGAACAAGGACGUUAGUAACUGAACGUCCCCUGACGGUAUCUAACCAGAAAGCCACGGCUAACUACGUGCCAGCAGCCGCGGUAAUACGUAGGUGGCAAGCGUUGUCCGGAUUUAUUGGGCGUAAAGCGAGCGCAGGCGGUUUCUUAAGUCUGAUGUGAAAGCCCCCGGCUCAACCGGGGAGGGUCAUUGGAAACUGGGAGACUUGAGUGCAGAAGAGGAGAGUGGAAUUCCAUGUGUAGCGGUGAAAUGCGUAGAUAUAUGGAGGAACACCAGUGGCGAAGGCGGCUCUCUGGUCUGUAACUGACGCUGAGGCUCG